GAUGAAGAACGUAGCGAAAUGCAAUACUUGGUGUGAAUUGCAGAAUCCCGUGAACCAUCGAGUCUUUGAACGCAAGUUGCGCCCGAAGCCAUUAGGCCGAGGGCACGCCUGCCUGGGCGUCACACGUCGUUGCCCCCCCAUCUACUCCUUCGGGAUUGCGGGGGGCGGAUGAUGGCCUCCCGUGCGCCUCGUCGCGCGGUUGGCAUAAAUGCCAAGUCCUCGGCGACGCACGCCACGACAAUCGGUGGUUGCGAAACCUCGGUUGCCCGUCGUGUGCGGUCGUCGCGCAUCGAGGGCUCGAAAAAAUUGCCGGGCUCCGGCUCGGCUUUCAACGCGACCCCAGGUCAGGCGGGGUUACCCGCUGAAUUUAAGCAUAUCAAUAAGCGGAGGA
RNAcentral lists this unclassified non-coding RNA (391 nucleotides) under soil metagenome. RNAcentral describes it as "partial contains 5.8S ribosomal RNA, internal transcribed spacer 2, and large subunit ribosomal RNA". The stretch from base 1 to 122 matches the Rfam family "5.8S ribosomal RNA", at positions 35 to 154 of the family's 154-position model. The record is from RNAcentral.